RNAcentral lists this unclassified non-coding RNA (229 nucleotides) under plant metagenome. RNAcentral describes it as "partial contains small subunit ribosomal RNA, internal transcribed spacer 1, and 5.8S ribosomal RNA". The record is from RNAcentral.
UCUCCGUAGGUGAACCUGCGGAGGGAUCAUUACAGAGUUUUUGCCCGCAAGGGUAGAUCUCCCACCCUAUGUUAUUCCUUCUCUGUUGCUUUGGCGGGCCGUCCGGCCUCGGUCAGGCCACCGGCUCCGGCCGGUGCGCGCCCGCCAGAGGACCCCAAACCCUAAAUGUCAGUGUCGUCUGAGUACUAUAUAAUAGUUAAAACUUUCAACAACGGAUCUCUUGGUUCUG